UUCCGGUUGAUCCUGCCGGACCUGACUGCUAUCGGAUUGAUACUAAGCCAUGCGAGUCUUUGUAGUAAUACAAGGCAGACGGCUCAGUAACACGUAGUCAACCUACCCUAUGGACGAGAAUAAUCUCGGGAAACUGAGCAUAAUUCUUGAUAGAUCAUAAUGCCUGGAAUGGUUUAUGGUUGAAAUGAUUCGUCGCCAUAGGAUGGGACUGCGGCCUAUCAGCUUGUUGGUGAGGUAAUGGCCCACCAAGGCGAUUACAGGUACGGGCUCUGAGAGGAGAAGCCCGGAGAUGGGUACUGAGACACGGACCCAGGCCCUAUGGGGCGCAGCAGGCGAGAAAACUUUGCAAUGUGCGAAAGCACGACAAGGUUAAUCCGAGUGAUUUCUGCUAAAGAAAUCUUUUGCCAGUCAUAAAACCACUGGUGAAUAAGGGGUGGGCAAGUUCUGGUGUCAGCCGCCGCGGUAAAACCAGCACCUCAAGUGGUCAGGAUGAUUAUUGGGCCUAAAGCAUCCGUAGCCGGCUUUGUUAGUUUUCGGUUAAAUCCAUGUGCUCAACGCAUGGGCUGCCGAAAAUACUGCAUGGCUAGGGAGUGGGAGAGGUAGACGGUACUCAGUAGGAAGGGGUAAAAUCCUUUGAUCUAUUGAUGACCACCUGUGGCGAAGGCGGUCUACCAGAACACGUUCGACGGUGAGGGAUGAAAGCUGGGGGAGCAAACCGGAUUAGAUACCCGGGUAGUCCCAGCUGUAAACGAUGCAGACUCGAUGAUGCAUUGGCAUAAUAGCCAGUGCAGUGUCGCAGGGAAGCCGUUAAGUCUGCCGCCUGGGAAGUACGUACGCAAGUAUGAAACUUAAAGGAAUUGGCGGGGGAGCACCACAAGGGGUGAAGCCUGCGGUUCAAUUGGAGUCAACGCCGGG
This 915-nucleotide ribosomal RNA is filed under the name uncultured marine archaeon. Its description in RNAcentral is "bacterial SSU rRNA". It matches the Rfam family "Archaeal small subunit ribosomal RNA", at positions 1 to 922 of the family's 1478-position model. The record is from RNAcentral.